GGGCUGGCUUUAGCUCAGCGGUUACUUCGACGAGCAUUCUCCACAAUCAACACGCGCAGCUUUCAGCUGUGCAGUUGGUUCGAAACCCGCGGGCGCUCUCCAGCCCUUUU
Dipodomys ordii (Ord's kangaroo rat) is the source of this 110-nucleotide unclassified non-coding RNA. Its record names the gene Vault. It matches the Rfam family "Vault RNA". From Rfam's summary of the family: This family of RNAs are found as part of the enigmatic vault ribonucleoprotein complex. Lineage: Eukaryota; Metazoa; Chordata; Mammalia; Rodentia; Heteromyidae. The record is from Ensembl.